UUCUGUCUGCGGUUCGAAUCCG
Molecule: non-coding RNA, 22 nt
Filed under: Arabidopsis thaliana (thale cress)
Lineage: Eukaryota; Viridiplantae; Streptophyta; Magnoliopsida; Brassicales; Brassicaceae
Source: RNAcentral